CCUACGGGUGGCAGCAGUGAGGAAUAUUGGUCAAUGGGCGAGAGCCUGAACCAGCCAAGUCGCGUGAGGGAGUACUGCCCUAUGGGUUGUAAACCUCUUUUGUCGGGGAGCAAAAGCCGGACGUGUCCGGCUGUGAGAGUACCCGAAGAAAAAGCAUCGGCUAACUCCGUGCCAGCAGCCGCGGUAAUACGGGGGAUGCGAGCGUUAUCCGGAUUUAUUGGGUUUAAAGGGUGCGCAGGCGGAUUUUUAAGUCAGCGGUAAAAUCGUGGGGCUCAACCCCAUCCAGCCGUUGAAACUGGGGAUCUAGAGUGGGCGAGAGGUAUGCGGAAUGCGUGGUGUAGCGGUGAAAUGCAUAGAUAUCACGCAGAACCCCGAUUGCGAAGGCAGCAUACCGGUGCACAACUGACGCUCAGGCACGAAAGCGUGGGUAUCGAACAGGAUUAGAUACCCGAGUAGUC
This 458-nucleotide ribosomal RNA is filed under the name uncultured bacterium. Its description in RNAcentral is "partial 16S ribosomal RNA". It matches the Rfam family "Bacterial small subunit ribosomal RNA", at positions 338 to 795 of the family's 1533-position model. The record is from RNAcentral.